UAACGCGUGAGCAACCUGCCUUGAAGUGGGGGACAACAGUUGGAAACGACUGCUAAUACCGCAUAAUAUAUCUGAGUCGCAUGGCUUGGAUAUCAAAGAUUUAUCGCUUCAAGAUGGGCUCGCGUCUGAUUAGGUAGUUGGCGGGGUAACGGCCCACCAAGCCGACGAUCAGUAGCCGGCCUGAGAGGGCGACCGGCCACAUUGGGACUGAGACACGGCCCAGACUCCUACGGGAGGCAGCAG
Molecule: ribosomal RNA, 243 nt
Filed under: uncultured bacterium
Lineage: Bacteria
Description: partial 16S ribosomal RNA
Rfam family: Bacterial small subunit ribosomal RNA
Source: RNAcentral